RNAcentral lists this ribosomal RNA (468 nucleotides) under uncultured bacterium. RNAcentral's name for it is "partial 16S ribosomal RNA". It matches the Rfam family "Bacterial small subunit ribosomal RNA", at positions 28 to 507 of the family's 1533-position model. The record is from RNAcentral.
GACGAACGCUGGCGGCGUGCUUAACACAUGCAAGUCGAACGGAAGGGCCCUGCUUUUGUGGGGUGCUCGAGUGGCGAACGGGUGAGUAACACGUGAGUAGCCUGCCCUUGACUUUGGGAUAACUUCAGGAAACUGGGGCUAAUACCGGAUAGGAGCUCCUGCUGCAUGGUGGGGGUUGGAAAGUUUCGGCGGUUGGGGAUGGACUCGCGGCUUAUCAGCUUGUUGGUGGGGGAGUGGCUUACCAAGGCUUUGACGGGUAGCCGGCCUGAGAGGGUGACCGGCCACAUUGGGACUGGGAUACGGCCCAGACUCCUACGGGAGGCAGCAGUGGGGAAUAUUGCUCAAUGGGCGGAAGCCUGAUGCAGCAACGCCGCGUGCGGGAUGACGGCCUUCGGGUUGUAAACCGCUUUCGCCUGUGACGAAGCGUGAGUGACGGUAAUGGGUAAAGAAGCACCGGCUAACUACGUG